GAUGAAGAACGCAGCGAAAUGCGAUAAGUAAUGUGAAUUGCAGAAUUCAGUGAAUCAUCGAAUCUUUGAACGCACCUUGCGCCCUUUGGCUAUUCCAGAGGUCAUGCCUGUUUGAUUAUCAUGAACACCUCAACUCUCAUGGUUCUGCCAUGAUGAGCUUGGACUUUGGAGGUCUUGCUGGCCCCUGUGGUCAGCUCCUCUCAAAUGGAUCAGCUUGCCAGUGUUUGGUGGCAUCACAGGUGUGAUAACUAUCUACGCUUGUGGUUUUCCACCAGGUAACCUUCAGUGAUGGAGGUUCGCUGGAGCUCAUAAACGUCUCUCCUCAGCGAGGACAGCUUCUUGAACGUUUGAUCUCAAAUCAGGUAGGGCUACCCGCUGAACUUAAGCAUAUCAUAAGCGGAGGA
RNAcentral lists this unclassified non-coding RNA (404 nucleotides) under soil metagenome. RNAcentral describes it as "partial contains 5.8S ribosomal RNA, internal transcribed spacer 2, and large subunit ribosomal RNA". The stretch from base 1 to 121 matches the Rfam family "5.8S ribosomal RNA", at positions 35 to 154 of the family's 154-position model. The record is from RNAcentral.